This 253-nucleotide ribosomal RNA is filed under the name uncultured bacterium. RNAcentral describes it as "partial 16S ribosomal RNA". It matches the Rfam family "Bacterial small subunit ribosomal RNA", at positions 524 to 776 of the family's 1533-position model. The record is from RNAcentral.
GACGAAGGGGGCUAGCGUUGUUCGGAAUUACUGGGCGUAAAGCGCACGUAGGCGGAUUUGUAAGUCAGGGGUGAAAUCCCGAGGCUCAACCUCGGAACUGCCUUUGAUACUGCAAAUCUCGAGUCCGGAAGAGGUGAGUGGAAUUCCUAGUGUAGAGGUGAAAUUCGUAGAUAUUAGGAAGAACACCAGUGGCGAAGGCGGCUCACUGGUCCGGUACUGACGCUGAGGUGCGAAAGCGUGGGGAGCAAACAGG